Cercocebus atys (sooty mangabey) is the source of this 5687-nucleotide long non-coding RNA. RefSeq lists it as uncharacterized. The transcript has 3 exons. NCBI's taxonomy places the organism in Eukaryota, Metazoa, Chordata, Mammalia, Primates, Cercopithecidae. The record is from RefSeq and is a predicted model, not a curated record.
CCUGGCCAUCGCAGGGCCGCCCCGGGCCGUGACGUCAUGGACCCCAGCCAAUCACCGGAGCCUGAGACCGCGCCGCGGCCUGCGAGCCCGGUGACGUCACAGCGCGAGCCUGGAAUCCGCAGCUUCGCUGGUUACCUGGAAGCGGUGCGAGCGCCCAAUACCUGAAAUCUGGACUUUGCUGUCUCUGAAAAUCACCAUUUGCCUUUGGGAGAUGUGUGUUGGCAAGAAGAGGAGACAUAUUCAAACCCCACUGGCUAGGACAUCAGGAGCUCAGUAUGUAAUCUACAGGCCACCCUAGACUGUCCUGCUAAUGCUGACUCUUCUGCCCAUCUCUGUUCUCAAGUUCUCCAUGGCUUUUAUUCUAGUGUAAGUUUGAUGUUAACAUAAUUUGACCUUUGAUUCACUCACUCCUAUGUUGUAAGUCUGUUUAAUUAGCCCUACUUUUUUGAUAAAUCUGCUCUAUCCACAUAGGAGUUAUACAGUAGGAGGAGGUAGGUAGAGAGGGAAGCGUAGGUGGUUCCACAUUCACCCUUCACCUGAGCCCAAGGUUGUCUCAUUGUAUCAAGAGGGACUGUAGACCCCAGGUUCCCUGAGACGGUGGUCAGGAGAGAGGUGUUUGAUGGGAGAGGUGAAAAGACCAUAGGAUCUGGAGAAGUAACUCCCAGGAGAGCAACACAGGAAGGAUGAGAACUGUCUUCUCCCUGCACUGUGCUCCAAAACAAUGAGCCCGGCAGUGGGGCGGGGAGGAUAAGUAGAGGACAGAUAUGAGUUAAGCCUGUGCCAAAGGUUAUGUGUCACUGCAACUAGAGUCUGAAAGAAAAUCAAGUUGGAAGAUCAGCAAAAGUUGAAGAUCUAUAUAAAUGAGUCAUUGUGAUUUAUCCCAAAUGCCCAGUAAAGCUCUGGAAAAGGAUUUCCUUCAGCCUGCUACUCUGAGGCUAGGAAAAUUCAUUCUGAAUUUUCUUUCUGAAUCUUCCAACCUUAGUUUUUACAAAAUUAUUUCCUUUUUGGACAUUCCUCUGAAAGGUUGGGAUGUAGAAUUUGAGCAAGUUAGGGGUUACAUGAUUUGGUUACAUUUGCCUUCAAAACAUGCCUAGCUGAUCACAUUCACCUGGUAAACAUUUUCCUUUUAUAUAUGUCAAAGAAACAGAAAUACUUACGAUUUGGUUUUUAGCUUCUUUAUUCAUUUGAACACUUCAAUAUUCUGUCUUCUUCAAUGAUUCCCCCUUGCCCGUAUUUUCAGCUGGAACAGUUUCUCAUUUUCCCUAUUUCUGAACACUUUCAAGGGCUUGCUUCAGUAAGCCCAACACACAAAAUGUCCCUUUCGGCAAAAUCUCAGCGGUGGUGCUAAGGGACUAACACAGACUUUAAGGUCACAAAACCAUUGUUUUAACAUUUUUCUCUGUUACUUUUCUGAUAAUGAUGACAGUUCUGUCUCUAUUAUGUUUGUUGAGGCUUACCUAGUACCCAGUGAUAUUAGCUUCUCCUCUAGAGAGAGGUCCCAAGAGCAUUACACCAGAUCUCCUAUGAAGAUGUGGGAUUUCCUCUAGGAAAAGGUGUGUAUCCAGGUAAUUUACUAAGCCGGAAGCUGCUGUGAUUCUAUGGCAGCCUUAUCUCUUAUGACACACCCAUUUACUAUGAUUCGGUGAUCUGGAUGACGGCACAGAGUGCUGUACUAAAGCCUGCCCCAGAUGGUGGCUGUGCAUGUCAUCAGUUAUGAUAAUGGGAAAGUGGCUAAUGGAAAGAGCACAGCUCAGAUAUGUGACACAAUGGAAACAUUUGGGCAUUAGAAAGACUUCAAAUUAUAACUUUGCCACUAAUUAAUUGUGUGAUCUUGGAUAAGUUACUUAAUCCCUGCAAACCCCAGUUUUCUCAUCUGUAAAAAUGGAAUAAGGACAUAUGCCUCAUGAACUUGUAAGGAUCUGAGAAAAUAAAUAUGUGAGUGUGUGACAGAGUGAGAUGGGGAAGGAAUGCAGUGAUUAAACAAGAUUUUUAAAAUGUGAGGAAUUUGACUAUAUACCCAAAGUUCUUAUGGCAUGACCUUUGGUCUAUAAUGCAUGUAGAGGUAUUGACUUAAUUCUAGAUUUUGUUAAAUCAGGUGUACAUGUUGAAAAUUUUAAGGUGUAUCAAUUAGAAAUUGCAUUCAUCUGAUAAUAAAAAUCUUGACUAAAGUGACUUGAACAAGAUAGAAGUUUCUGUUUGUUUCUCACAUGAAUGAGAUCUGGAGGUGGGCAGUGCAGGAUGGAAUUGGCCGCUUCUUAAUAAUCAGGGUUUUAGCUCUUCUUUCUGCUUUACCGUCCUUAGUGUGUGGCUUCCAUCCUCAGAGUUGCUUCAUGGUCCAUGAUGGUUUCCGGAGUUCCAUCUACACCCACGUUGCAAGCAGGAUAAAAGGGGGAAGGACAGAGGAACACAGGCCAACUUGGCCCAAAUCCCUCUCUGGGUCUGUUUCUGACUACUGUCUUCCUGACAUCUACCCUGAGCUGCCACUUUCUGACCAACCUCCCAUGGAAGAAAACGGUAGCAUGCAUGGGUCAAAGAAGAGGCAGACCUGAAAAAGAGAAAAAGAUACCUAUUUUUUCAUGUGGAACCCUGCCACUGCUGCUUCCUAGUAAAUCACAGUAUGUAUCCUUUGGUUCAGUCAUUGGGCCAUUGUUACAUUUUUCCCACAGGUUAAACAGAUUAAUGGUAAAAUCUACCAUGAUUGAUUUGGUAAAGAAAAAGUCAGUUCUCUGGUUGUCAAUAUGUUACUGGUGUUUCUCCAGCAAAGGCAGCCAUGGGUUGGCCUAUUGUCCCAGUGUCCUUUUUGUUUUAGCAUUUGUCUUGGAAAUAAUUGUCACAGUUUGGAUGAUCAAUUACAUGAUCAUUCUACCUGUGGUACUAAUGCUCAGAGAAGCAGACCAGAAACCUACUUACGGUGUUUGAAGUCCCUUAUUUGUAUCUUUAACCAAAGCAAGUUGGCCACCAAUCAAGCCAAUUGAAUUACAGGAAGUUUCAACUAAUGCUCUCAAGUGAACAUGCAUUAAUUUCACCCAAACUAGACCUGACUGGUGACUUUAAAAUUAGUUCUUAGUUGUGUUUUUUUCCAAUUUCUCCACAUCACUGUGUUAAAUUAAGUUUAGCAUGAAGCUACCUCCUUACAUGUUUCAGUUCAGCCUAAAGGUUUAACUGGAACCUAAUUGGAUAUGUAAACAGACUGUUGUAACCUACACUUGCACCAAUCGCAGAGUUCUGGCCAAUCACAGGCAUGUUGCUUUCCUUUACAGGUCUUAGUUUGACCAAUCACAGGCAGCCAACUAUUUAAACUGUAUUUAAAUACAGCAAACCCUGAGCUAACCAAUCCAGCUGUUUCUGUACCUCACUUCUGCCUUUUUGUACAUUACUUUCCCUUUUCUGUCCGUAAAUGUUAGCCAACCACGUAGCAGCCCUGAUUCUAGAGGCUGCCCCAUUCUCAAAUUGUUGUUUACUCAGUUAAACUCUGUUAAAUUUAAUUUGUCUAAAGAUUUUUCUUUUAACACCUGCCAACACAUUAUUUUCUGUUUUUUUGUUUGUUUUUUUAAUUAUUUGUAUUAUAGUCAUCCUACUGAGUAUGAAGAGGUAUCUCAUCGUGGCUUUGAUUUCCAAUUCCCUAAUGACCAAGUUCUUAGCUUUUUGAUAGCACAGAGAAGACUGUUUGCUCUCAGAGGCUUGCAUUGUAUCUUAGGGGUUUAAUAUUCUCAGAGCUGAGAAUACAGUAGGUGUUAACAAAUCUCUCAUUCAGCAAACAUUCACAAAAAGAGCCUGAGUUUUGUACAUCAGCUCGGUACCGAUAAAAAAGAGUUAUAUUUAGCAUCAGGAGGCCAGAAGAUCAGAGCACAUAAAUACAUCCUAAAGACUGUGACAACAGGUUCCUAAGGUGACAAAUUCACACCUCAACAUGAAGCAGGUGGAAGCUCUCAAAUCCAUUGCAGCAAAAUGGUGGCUGAAGGUCAGUUACAGUUAAAAGAGGUAUAAGCGGCUGUUUUCAUCUCCCUUUUCAUUGUAAUAAAAUGUGUCUUGGCAGAAACCUCUCCAAAGGAGAUGGGUGCCCACUUCCCAGAGGUGUUUGGUGGAUUAAUGUGAGCAAAACAUUCUGUGAUAAGACUUCCGCUGCAAUUGAAGGGAGAGUGCUCUUAUUAAGGAGACUUCCAAUUCUGAGCAUUUAUUACAUGUAAGAUACUGUCCUCGGCAGUUUCUUAAUAGCUGAGAAUGUAAUGCACGGCUUUGAGACAUUAUCUCAAUCUUAACAGCUGCUUCCAGGGCUGCAGCACAGGUUCUGUCUGGGUUUAGAUCUGAGCUUUCAUGUACUAGCUAUGGUAUUUAACCUCCACAUGCAUCAAUUUUCUUAUCUAUAAAGGAGGAAAUUAAAAUGCCCACCUCUUAGGGUUGUUUUCAGGAUGUGCUAAGCUGGUUGACUUCCUACAUGGAGAGAAGUCAAUACAUGUUAAUUCCCUUUGCCUUCACUUAAAAUUAAGAAUAUUAUAGAUAUUAUUCCUUCUAUUUUCUAGAUGAGAAAAGUGAGGGAUAGGUCCCGUAGUGACUGAGAAGUCAUCAUCUUUUGGGGUGUCCUCCCAGCUCACAGCCAUUUCCAAUUACCUGGGAACUAUCCCCUGACCCAAGGUGAUAAACCCACAGCAGUCAUAUCUGUACCAUGGGCUAAUGCCCCUCAGGCCACCAUUGAUUGAAUGGAGGAAGACAGACAUGGGACUUAAGUGGGCCAGUCAGAUUCUUGUCCAAGAAUUUGGGAAUGAGACCAAGAUACAGAAAGGUAGAAUCUGCAUGUGGCUAAAACUGUGUCACGUAACUUAGGCAUUGAUGCCACUAUAUUCUCUCAGAUGAAUGGGAGAUGAGGAGAAAGAUGGGCCUCAGAGAGGGAAGACAGAAACAGAUAUGCAGCCAUGGCAGCUGAGAAAAGAUCCCAAUGACUUUCAGCUCCUGGUUCUAGUCCUUUCUCAGCCUAGCCCAUGCCUUUCCCCUUGGAUUCCAUGAGAUGCCCACCUACCUGCAGAGUUAUCAUAAAGCCCCUCAUGUUGCUUCUCGUAGUUUGGUGGGCAAGAUUUUCACAGGCCACAAACUCAAAUAGGCAAGCGAUUGAGUUUUAUUUUCUUGUAAUAUAAUUUAAUUUGUCUUUUGAGAUGUCAUUCUAUCUGAUGGCAGAAAAACAAUCAAAUAAGCUCCAGAUAGACUCAGUCAUUUCAGGGUUUUCUCAGGCCUUUUAGGUCUCACUUAACUCAGAAUACUCUCACAUACUUCCUUCUCUCCAAAAGGCAUCUCGGGGCAUGCGGGGCAUCCUGACCCAGGAGAGGCAUUUAGUCCAGGCUGAUUCCCUGGAGAGAGGUGUCACCCAGAUGUGAUGCAUCCUGUCUCAUGCUAGGUCAUCAUCUCCUGCACGCCACUCUGCACCCACCUGACUCUGAGUGACAGCCCUUCUGGGCCACCAUCAGACAUUUGUGUGUCCCUGUUAGAAAUGAAUCAACAUCUCAGUUUUUAAAUUUUUAAAAAAUAAAAAUACAAAUAAAGUCUUGGCAAACUUUAAUCUGCAGGAACUAGAGUUGUGUAGUUAUACUUCUAAUCUGUUUCUAAUAUCUUAUUGGCAACGUAAGCUUUGUGCUUUCAUUUUUUAGUGUACACAUUAAACUUUUGAAACUUAAAAUUCUUUUUGUCAUAAAUUCUGG